CCUACGGGAGGCAGCAGUGGGGAAUAUUGGGCAAUGGAGGAAACUCUGACCCAGCGACGCCGCGUGCGGGAUGAAGGCCUUCGGGUUGUAAACCGCUUUCAGUAGGGAAGAAGCGAAAGUGACGGUACCUACAAAAGAAGAACCGGCUAACUAUGUGCCAGCAGCCGCGGUAAUACAUAGGGUGCAAGCGUUGUCCGGAAUUAUUGGGCGUAAAGAGCUCGUAGGUCGUUUGUUACGUCGGAUGUGAAAACCUGAGGCUCAACCUCAGGCCUGCAUUCGAUACGGGCAAACUAGAGUUUGGUAGGGAGACUGGAAUUCCUGGUGUAGCGGUGGAAUGCGCAGAUAUCAGGAGGAACACCAAUGGCGAAGGCAGGUCUCUGGGCCAAUACUGACACUGAGGAGCGAAAGUCUGGGGAGCGAACAGGAUUAGAUACCCUGGUAGUCCAGACCGUAAACGGUGGCACUAGUUGUGGGAACCUUCCACGGUUUCUGCGACGCAGCUACGACAUUAAGUACGUCCCGCCGUCGGGUAGGUACGACGUCGACGAAGAAUUAAACUAACUAAAGUAGUAAGUUAGUACGGACGUGAGACGUCGACCGACGGACGACGACGAGGGAGGUAGG
This 624-nucleotide ribosomal RNA is filed under the name uncultured bacterium. Its description in RNAcentral is "bacterial SSU rRNA". The stretch from base 1 to 524 matches the Rfam family "Bacterial small subunit ribosomal RNA", at positions 338 to 873 of the family's 1533-position model. The record is from RNAcentral.